RNAcentral lists this ribosomal RNA (466 nucleotides) under uncultured bacterium. Its description in RNAcentral is "partial 16S ribosomal RNA". It matches the Rfam family "Bacterial small subunit ribosomal RNA", at positions 28 to 507 of the family's 1533-position model. The record is from RNAcentral.
GAUGAACGCUGGCGGCGUGCUUAACACAUGCAAGUCGAACGGAAAGGCUCCUGCUUGCAGGGGUACUCAAGUGGCGAACGGGUGAGUAACACGUGGGUGAUCUGCCCUGCACUUCGGGAUAAGCCUGGGAAACUGGGUCUAAUACCGGAUAGGACGAUGGUUUGGAUGCCCUUGUGGAAAGAUUUUCGGUGUGGGAUGAGGUCGCGGCCUAUCAGCUUGUUGGUGGUGUAAUGGCCUACCAAGGCGUCGGCGGGUAGCCGGCCUCGGAGGGUGUACGGCCACGGUGGGACUGGGAUACGGCCCCGACUCCGACUGGAGGCAGCAGCGGGGGUUAGUGCUCAAGGGGCGCAGGCCGGAUGCAGCUACGCCGCGUGGGGGAUGACGGACUUCGGGUUGUGAACGCCUUGCGCUAUGGACGAAGCGUUUUGUGACGGUACCUGGAGAAGAAGCCCCGGCUAACUACGUG